Tachyglossus aculeatus (Australian echidna) is the source of this 136-nucleotide small nucleolar RNA. NCBI's taxonomy places the organism in Eukaryota, Metazoa, Chordata, Mammalia, Monotremata, Tachyglossidae. The record is from RefSeq and is a predicted model, not a curated record.
CCCCUCUCAGGGUCAUGCCUGGAGAGUUUCCAGUACUCUACCAGUCUUGGCUAUGGGAGGGAGAGUCGAGCAGAGGCCUACCAUUCCAUUCCAGUUUGGCCAGUGGCUAGUGAGUGGAAGACCAUCUGCUACAGGU